GACGAACGCUGGCGGCGUGCUUAACACAUGCAAGUCGAACGAAGAGCGAUGGAAGCUUGCUUCUAUCACUCUUAGUGGCGAACGGGUGAGUAACGCGUAAUCAACCUGCCCUUCAGAGGGGGACAACAGUUGGAAACGACUGCUAAUACCGCAUACGAUCUAAUCUCGGCAUCGAGGAUAGAUGAAAGGUGGCCCCUACAUGUAAGCUAUCACUGAAGGAGGGGAUUGCGUCUGAUUGGCUAGUUGGAGGGGUAACGGCCCACCAAGGCGAUGAUCAGUAGCCGGUCUGAGAGGAUGAACGGCCACAGUGGGACUGAGACACGGCCCAGACGCCUACGGGAGGCAGCAGUGGGGAAUCUUACGCAAGGGACGAAAGGCUGACGGAGCAACGCCGCGUGAGGGAUGACGGCCGUCGGGUUGUAAAGCUCUGUUAAUCGGGACGAAAGGCCUUCUUGCGAAUAGUGAGAAGGAUUGACGGUACCGGAAUAGAAAGCCACGGCUAACUACGUG
This 510-nucleotide ribosomal RNA is filed under the name uncultured bacterium. RNAcentral's name for it is "partial 16S ribosomal RNA". It matches the Rfam family "Bacterial small subunit ribosomal RNA", at positions 28 to 507 of the family's 1533-position model. The record is from RNAcentral.